This 434-nucleotide ribosomal RNA is filed under the name uncultured bacterium. Its description in RNAcentral is "bacterial SSU rRNA". It matches the Rfam family "Bacterial small subunit ribosomal RNA", at positions 958 to 1392 of the family's 1533-position model. The record is from RNAcentral.
AACGCCAAGAACCUUACCUGGGCUUGACAUGUAAUGAACAACAUGUGAAAGCAUGCGACUCUUCGGAGGCGUUACACAGGUGCUGCAUGGCCGCCGUCAGCUCGUGUCGUGAGAUGUUUGGUUAAGUCCAGCAACGAGCGCAACCCCUGUUGCCAGUUACCAGCACGUGAAGGUGGGGACUCUGGCGAGACUGCCCAGAUCAACUGGGAGGAAGGUGGGGACGACGUCAGGUCAGUAUGGCCCUUAUGCCCAGGGCUGCACACGUACUACAAUGCCCAGUACAGAGGGGGCCGAAGCCGCGAGGCGGAGGAAAUCCUAAAAACUGGGCCCAGUUCGGACUGUAGGCUGCAACCCGCCUACACGAAGCCGGAAUCGCUAGUAAUGGCGCAUCAGCUACGGCGCCGUGAAUACGUUCCCGGGCCUUGUACACACCG